AAAGAGGCGCGGCAUACAGCUCAGUAACACGUGGCUAAUCUGCCCUUGGGAUGGGAAUAACCCCGGGAAACUGGGGCUAAUUCCCAAUAGGCGAAGAACUCUGGAAUGAGUCUUUACCAGAAAAGACGCUUGCGUUAUGCUCGUAGGCGUCGCCCAAGGAUGAGGCCGCGACCGAUCAGGUUGUUGGUGAGGUAAUGGCUCACCAAGCCUUUUACCGGUGCGGGCCGUGAGAGCGGGAGCCCGGAGAUGGGCACUGAGACAAGGGCCCAGGCCCUACGGGGCGCAGCAGUCGCGAAAACUUUGCAAUAAGCGAAAGCUUGACAGGGCUAUCCCGAGUGCCAUCCGCUGAGGAAGGCUUUUACCCAGUCUAGAACGCUGGGGGAAUAAGGAGAGGGCAAGUCUGGUGUCAGCCGCCGCGGUAAUACCAGCUCUCCGAGUGGUGUGGAUGUUUAUUGGGCCUAAAGCAUCCGUAGCUGGCUAAGUUAGUCCCUUGUUAAAUCCACCGAAUUAAUCGUUGGAUUGCGGGGGAUACUGCUUGGCUAGGGGACGAGAGAGGCAGACGGUAUUUCCGGGGUAGGGGUGAAAUCCUAUAAUCCCGGGAAGACCACCAGUGGCGAAGGCUGUCUGCUAGAACGCGCCCGACGGUGAGGGAUGAAAGCUGGGGGAGCGAACCGGAUUAGAUACCCGGGUAGUCCCAGCUGUAAACGAUGCAGGCUAGGUGUUUGAACGGCCGCGUGCCGUUCUAGUGCCGCAGGGAAGCUGUUAAGCCUGCCGCCUGGGGAGUACGAUCGCAAGAUUGAAACUUAA
This 807-nucleotide ribosomal RNA is filed under the name uncultured crenarchaeote. Its description in RNAcentral is "bacterial SSU rRNA". It matches the Rfam family "Archaeal small subunit ribosomal RNA", at positions 70 to 859 of the family's 1478-position model. The record is from RNAcentral. Lineage: Archaea; Thermoproteati; Thermoproteota.